GACAAACGCUGGCGGCGUGCUUAACACAUGCAAGUCGAACGAUGAAGAAGAGCUUGCUCUUCGGAUUAGUGGCGAACGGGUGAGUAACACGUGACUAACCUGCCCCUUUCUCUGGGAUAACGCUCCGAAAGGAGUGCCAAUACCGGAUACUCACAUCGAGGCACAUGCCUUGAUGUGGAAAGUUUUUCGGAAAGGGAUGGAGUCGCGGCCUAUCAGCUUGUUGGUGAGGGAACGGCUCACCAAGGCGACGACGGGUAGCCGGCCUGAGAGGGGGAACGGCCACACGGGGACUGAGACACGGCCCAGACUCCUACGGGAGGCAGCAGUGGGGAAUAUUGCACAAUGGGCGAAAGCCUGAUGCAGCGACGCCGCGUGAGGGAUGAAGGUCUUCGGAUUGUAAACCUCUUUCAGUAGGGACGAAGCGAAAGUGACGGUACCUAAAGAAGAAGCACCGGCUAACUACGUGCCAGCCGCCGCCGUAA
RNAcentral lists this ribosomal RNA (482 nucleotides) under uncultured bacterium. Its description in RNAcentral is "partial 16S ribosomal RNA". It matches the Rfam family "Bacterial small subunit ribosomal RNA", at positions 28 to 523 of the family's 1533-position model. The record is from RNAcentral.